Molecule: ribosomal RNA, 250 nt
Filed under: uncultured bacterium
Lineage: Bacteria
Description: partial 16S ribosomal RNA
Rfam family: Bacterial small subunit ribosomal RNA
Source: RNAcentral
GAGCUCCUACGGGAGGCAGCAGUGAGGAAUAUUGGUCAAUGGCCGAGAGGCUGAACCAGCCAAGUCGCGUGAGGGAAGACGGCCCUACGGGUUGCAAACCUCUUUUGUCGGGGAGCAAAGCGAGUCACGUGUGACUCAUUGCGAGUACCCGAAGAAAAAGCAUCGGCUAACUCCGUGCCAGCAGCCGCGGUAAUACGGAGGAUGCGAGCGUUAUCCGGAUUUAUUGGGUUUAAAGGGUGCGCAGGCGGAG